Molecule: long non-coding RNA, 9595 nt
Organism: Cygnus olor (mute swan)
Lineage: Eukaryota; Metazoa; Chordata; Aves; Anseriformes; Anatidae
Exons: 10
Source: RefSeq, a predicted model, not a curated record
UGGGCUGUCAGCCCCUCCUUUGCUUGGGAUGAUGGCGAAGAGGUCAGCACAAGAAGCUGCCAUUUGGAGCUACCUGGGAGACCUUAUGUUACUUCUUCAUUGUGCUGCCUUUCUCACAACAGGGCGAGCCUUUGGUGCAGUUAAAGAUGCAUUAAGUGAUGGGUGGAAAUGUGCUUGUCCCCAAAAAGGCAACAGUUCAGUUUUACUGUAGAUGAAAGACAACUGCUCUGUUUAUGUCCUUAAACCCCAAUAAUUUUCGUUGGAGUUGCUGCUGGUCAUUCUUUACUGACUGGAACCCCAGCACAAUGCUAAAGGGAAUGUUAUGUUUAAUCUGGUUCCCAACACUUCAUCUUUCCUUCACCCACGGCAACUGCCUGCACGUUUGUGAGUUUUUCAUUUGAAUGAAAUUUCUCUCUAGCUGUCGGCAAAACAUGGAAAAAAUCAAUAGCUAUUAAGAUAUGUAACUGCGGGAUAUGGGAUCCAACUAGUAGAAGAAGUGAAGGCCCUUUAUUUAUUCACAUUCCCAAGUGCCAGCAUUUGUUACCUGCCUUCACUUCCUGUGUCCUACUCCUUCCCCCAGGUUUUCAGUCAGAUUUUUGUUGCCAAAAGCUGAGCAGAGGGUGUUUUGCCUACUGCGCUCAGUUGCAUUCUGUGCUAGUUCCCUGUGAAAGCACCUCCGGGUACUUUCCCAGGGCUAGCACUUUUUGUUCAAGAACAAGUUAAGAAAAAAGAGUUACUGGUGGUUUUAAAACCCAUUUUCUUUUUAUCUAGUGUUCUGUUAAAGCUUUCCUCCUAAGCAGCUUACGAUAAUAUAAACAACCUGCAGAAAAAACCUGCUGUCAAUCUGCUGCUAUAAAUUCCUGCAGGUCCAGGGGCUUCAGGAGCUGGGUACUGCACCUACAGGCCUUGGAGUCAGAGAUAAGUAUCAGAUAAUUCACUCCUCCAGAAAAUACUGCCUUGUAUUCAAAAUGGAGCGGGGGGAGAAGGGAAGCGGGGGCGCAGCAGCCAGGAGGUGUGCUGAGAGUGCAGCAGGAGCUGGAGACCUGGCGUACAGCUGGGGCGAUGCUCACAGGGCUCCCAAAGCCGCAGCUGGGUAAGUGCUCGCCUCUCCUCACGGCUGUGUGCUUUACUGAGCUCCAUAGCUGCACAUCUCCUUCCUCACUGCAAAACAUACAUUUCCUCAUUUCAGCUUGUGAGGGCCCAGACCAUCAUCUCAGCCCCAGGGGCUGCUCUAGCAGGAGCAGCAGCUGUGCCAGCUGCCCCAGGUCGGUGAGGCAUCCUCCUGGCAUGCAGGUUUGGGUUUCUCCCUUCGGCCAUGGCACUCUGCUGUUUGUAGGCUGACGGUGCUGGAGCAUGGCUGUAGGGGUGUGCAGCAGUGCUGUGCUGCUCCAGCUUUUGGAGGUGCUCGGGAAUACUGAGAAAAAUCUAAUUAAGAAAAGUGAAAUACAGUAGGUUAAGCCAGCUGCAUCAGUGUGUGAAAUGCAGCCAUUAUAAAACAAAACAAAACGUUGUAGAGCAGCAUCUCUGGAGCUCUGCAGCCUUAAAAUGAUGCUGCCAGACUUCCCUGCCAUCAGAGAGCCAACACUUGCGUAAGAGCUGCUAAUACCUUGGAUUGUCACUAACUGGGGCUGUGGCGCUCCUGGGGGCAUGCAGGGCUCUGCCCGUGGGUGCUCCUUGCUCUGAGCAGCUCCUGCUUGAAAACUGGGGGCUGUGGGGGCAAAAUGGGCCUGACCAUGGCAGGUGGUGGAAGAGGAGGAAUGAGGAAGGAGGUGAUAAGAAAGCAUCGGUGCAGUAGAAAGAUGAGGGAAGUGAAAGACAAGCUGGGCAAUGAGGGGGUAAGCAGGAAGGGUGGGUGUGGAGUGAGGCUGAGGGAGCAACCAGCUGACCUUUGCAGGCAGAGAGACUGCUCCAAAUAAUCUGAGAGCAUGUUUGCUUCUGAAGAGCUGGGUUUGGCCAAGCCCCCUGGAAAAGUCUGCAAGAAAGCUGCUCUGCUCGGGUGGCAGAGGGCACUGCACUGCGCACGGGCAUGGGCCGCUGUUGUGCUCUUGGGAUGGCUCAGCGAGUGCACGUGUGUCCAUACAGUGACACUUUCUGCAUUGUGAAAGACAAACAAAAACAGAACAGCAACAGCAGCAAAACAACAACAAAGUUGAUUUAAAAUCUUAUCCUUCUGAGAUCACUGAGCAGAGGUCUUGGACCAGAUGAUCUUCAGAUGUUCCUUCCAACCUCAACUGUUCUGUGAUCAACAGGUAAAGCUUUAAAACAAGGCCAUUGUAUUUGUUCGUGAUGCUACAAUUUAUGAAGUGGUAGGAUUAAUUUUACUAUUUCAGAUAUCCUAAAAUGGGAAAAAUGUAAUUAAGAUUUAAUCUCUUGCUGAAAAAAGCGUCUUUAAAAUCAAUCAGGAAUGGCUGCAAAACCCUUAAAAUAUUUUUAAUGGUAAUUGUAUGCAGUUCCCUCUGUCUAAAGUUUGGAGAAAGGGCAUCUUGGAUGUAUGACAGUAAGUUCAGCGCAAGCGAAGCUGCUUUCAAAUAUACUGGAAAAGAUAUCCACAGUAAUAGGAUUAGUACAAAAAGAACGUGUCUUUGUAUCUAAAAUUCUGAGGCUAAUUUGUCUUGGUUCCACCCCUCCAAAAACUUUUGUAAUAAAUUACUUUCAUCAGGAACACUUAAUGAUGUUUCACUGGUAAAAUGCUCACAAGAAAUUCCCUGCUGGGAAAAUUAUCUGUAAAGGUUAUCACAGUAAGGCUUGGAUGUAAAAUGUCAAAGGACAACUUCAUCUCUCUCCCCUUCCUCGCCCUUCUACCCCAGCUACAGGCAGGAAAUUUGGGGGAGCUUAUGCAAGCCCAUCAGAUGGGCAGGAGUCUGUUCACUUCCAACGUGUCCCCACACUCGGAGUGCCCUGGCAUGCAUUUUAUUCAAGCUAAUGGGUGAUCUGAAAGCUGAACACCAGAAGGCUGCAAAAAUUAAGAAUUCACCAAAACUUUGCUGGAGUUGAGUUUGACAGAAGAGCUCAACGUCUGCCGUCAUCACCUGAGGGACAACCUAAUGUCAAGGCAAGAGGGGCCUGCUGCUGGGAGCCACGGGGGGAGUGUUGGCCCCAGGCCCUGCCACCACGAGACCAACGUGACGGGAGGUGAACACAGUUACAGCUGCUCUCUUACGGACAGCUUACUUGUGCUUUAUACUGUCAUACAGAUUCUCUAAAUGAAAAGAGCAGACUAGGGUGAAAUGUACUUUUUAAAUGACAUUUUGCAAAUUUCAAGAGAGAUCAUUUGAGCCUCUCCUGGAGGUGAAGAUUUGGACAGUGGAAUUUGCAGAGCUGCCACAGAAGUAUUUCAUCAGUGACAAGAGUGAGAGAGGACUGCGACUGAAUCAUGGGUGAUGCCCUGGCAUUAUUCUGUAAUGGAAAACAUGACUUUGCUAGCUACUUGGAAGCAAAUAUUGCAAAUAUUUGGACAUUAUGCCAUUACUUAAUAUUACCCAUUGUAUGUCCUCUUUCUCUCUCUCAUUUAUUUAUUUUAUGUCAUUCUAAAUGUCUAGGCUAACCUGCUAGCAUUUCAUUUUUUUCUUUUUUUUUCUUUUCAUUUUUUCCUUUUUUUUUCCUCUUUUCUACCCUCUUUUCUCUAAGUCCUGAAACAAAGUGGGAUCUUGAUCACUCUAUUCUCCUCACUUAAAGCUCCCACGUCCUUUUGUAUUUGAUGAACAGUGUGAGAACAUCCUGUAAUCAAAGCGAAAACAACUCCAAUCAUAUCACUAUUCCACAGGAGCUCCCAGAGAUGCCUUGAAGAAUUUGCUGCAUUUCUGGGCCUAUAGGGUGUUAUGGAGAACAACAGCUGGUAAUCACAGCUCUUUAAACUAUCUGAAUUACUGAAGGAAAAUCCUUUUCCAUAUCCUUACCAAGGCUGAAUAGAACACAAGGACCCAUUUCAUAACUAACUGAAUCUGAAAAUUUCAAAUCCCUGCUUAAUAAACAAAAAUAACCAUCUUUAUAAAACUGGUAAAUGACCGUGACUGCCUCUCUAAAGAAUUAUUUCCUAAGAAUAAUUUGGUGCAAAAGGAGCAUACCUCUCACCAAACACACCAGUUCCAAAAGCCUAUAGUUUCCCUGCACAAUAUUCUCUAGCUACAAGACCCUUUUCUUUCAGUAAAUGUAUUAUAACCCUUUCAGUCUGUUCUGUUUUACCUACUGUACACCAUGAAUCUGUAACAAGGUUAGGGUGAGUAACUAUUUAAAUCUACUUUCAAAUACAGCUGAAAAGCCUAUUAUAGAUGCAACCUUGAACUUUAAUUGUAUAAAGACAGCUACUUUCUUAGCGUUCACACAAGUGACAGAGUUUCUUGCUUUUAAGUCUGCUUGGACUUCCUGGCUGUAUUGGCAACUGUGUAUUCUGCCUCUAGACUUAGAAAAACAAACAAACAAACAAACAAACGAAAACAAAAACCUAAGUUUUCACACUGUGUAGCAUCAUAACAUCUAUUGAAAUUUGUAUUGAUGAAGGUUAUUAACAUAUUUGAGUUGGAGAAUUUAAUCUGGCUAAUUAUAUGUUUUUCUUCCUGCUAUUUUACUAGGCUACACAAGAGGCUGCUGAAAUCCAGCAUUUGUUUUCAGAUACAUGUUGAUGCUUUUUAAGGAAAUGAUUGUAAAGAACCAGAGAAUUCUUUAAAACAACGUUGGUCACAGCUUUUCCAGCAUCGGCACUAACUGAGUAAAUAAGGGGAAGCUUAAAGGAUCCAUGGAAGGACGCAAGGGUGCUGGCGUGCUGUGGAUCCUGCUGCUGGGCGGGCAGGAGCCCUGGUCCGUGGAUGCCAUGUCUUGAAAGUUUAUUGGGCUCCUCAGGCUUGUCCUUUCUUCAGUAACCUAGGACGCCUCUGCUGUGCUUGCAACAGGAAGCAUGAAUCAGACAGGGGGAAUUACUAUGUUUUCAGUGCAAGAGGCAGCAAUUUGGGGGAAGUUUCUCUAAAGUAUGAAUGAGAACUUGCUGAGAUGCUCGCAGUGCCAGGGGAGCACAUCGGCAGUGAUAAGGUGGAGGAAUGGAAAGCUGUGCUCGUUGCACACUGCGGGAGACCACAGUGUCCUUGCCAGCAGCACCUGCCACGCAGCAGAGGAGCGGCUUCUGCGUCGGAGAGAUGCUGCGUCCCCCAGGUGCAAGGAACACUGUGCAGUUUGCCAGUCAACAGAGCAUCUCAAACGUGUCACUCAGCCACAGGGACUGACCUCACCGGAGCUCUCAGUGAAGAGGGUAGACAAGUAGAGGAGGACACCAGACUGGCAGUGAAUUGCACAGAAGAGAUGUCCUACAGGAAAAGUCAUGAAACAGGAAGAUAGGGGAGCAGCUUAAGGUCUGCAGUCUGUCCUAUUGGGCUAAACCUUGUUGGAUGUUUACCGUUUGUUUCAGGUAAUAGAGCAGAGCUAAUGUGAGCAGUAAAGAUCAUCCACAGGCAAAAUACAGCAUCCAUUAACUCCUUGCACCUGCAAGGACCAAAAAUCUCCUUCAAUCCCACAAGAUUACCUGUUCUGCAGAAGUCAGACAUUGCAUGGAGUCUUAAGAGCUUGAAAAUGUGCAUGAGAAAAGUACUCCCUGCAUUUUGCCCUGCCGUGUUUUCAAGCCCUGUGACAGGUCCUGCAGCCUUGUUUGGCUGCCCCUUGGUAAACUCUGAGCUGAGAAACAUCUAGCAGUGCUGUCAAGAGGAAUCUACAUUUGCUUCAAGGAAAAUAUGUGACUCAUCCCUGUGUCCCUGCUACAGCUGUGUGGAGUGAAGUCACAACCCCCAUGGUUGGGAUGAAGCCAACUUCCAGCAAUACUUCUACAUAUAUUGUAAGUCCAAUACGAAUGUCUACAGACAUUUCACAGACUGAACUCAGAAACGUACUCUGACACCGAGCCACCAUAUUAAAGGUGUUGAAGUACACGUUGUGUAAGCCUGAGGCAAUAUACAGAAUUAAUGAAAGAAACGCUGCAUACUCUGAGCUUUGUGGACCAGAACAUGAAAUAAUAUCUGGAAUUUUUCACACACAAUUUUUCACAACUAUGAAAAUGCUGAUUCCAAGUAUCCUAGUAAAUAACUAAAUAACAGUCCUCUGACCCUGGUGAGACAAUUCCAUACUAAGAGAUUUUCUUGAAAUUCGCAGCUGUUGACUAUUAGAAAUGGUUUGGGGGUAUUGGCUUUGAAACAGAAAUUUUUUUCCCCGCUACAUACUGCUGGUACUGCCCUUGAAAGAUGCACUGUUUGAUGUGAGGUUUUGCACAAAAUGAAUAUUUGAGUUUUGAGCUAUGAAAAAUGGCUUCUUUUUCUGAAGAGUGUGAUACAUACUGAAGCUCCGAGCUCACUGGGUUCUACUGAUUGAUAUCCACAGAUGAGCUAGUCUUCUACCUUAAACCACUCUUCUUCCUGCAAGUAUAAAAUAACAACACGAGCUGUCGGCAGAGUACCAGGUAAAUGUUGCCAUGGGCCCAAGGGCUUUCCCUGUCCCAAGAGCUCUUUUUGGAAGCCAGAAAAUGACUAUCAAAUGAAAGCAUAUUUACUUGAUGCAAACAGCAGUGAGAUGAUGUUUGCAAAUGCCUCCUUCUGUUUCCAAACAGUACAAACAACAAAUUACUGCCUCAGACUGAUUUCCACCAAAUAUAUUUUCACACUUUUCCAUUGUUAGUUGGUUGGCUUUUUUUUAAUUUUUUUUUUUUUUUUUUUGGAGGGGGGGGAGGCUGAGGGCAGGAAGUCAAUGCUUUGUAAGCUAUCCUCAGCUAGAAAAAGGUGAAGAACCAGCACUAUUUCAAGUAAAUGCAUUUUAAACAGAACUCUGAUAUUACUACUUGGCCCGUCUUUUUGACUUCAACUGUUGGUAGAUUUUUUUUUUUUCCUUUGGCCUGGUCCAUUUGGAUAGCACAGAACUUCAGGAAAUUAGUGAUGCUGCCUUUGAAAACCCUGCCUAUUUUACAGAGGAAAUACUUAAAACUCAAUGAUAUGAAACUAACUAGAUAUGUUUGAAAUAUUGAUUACAUAUAUCUUCUGGAAUAGGAUAAUGGGAUAUUCCUGGUUGCUAUAUGCAUGUUUAUACGUCCCUGAAAUGUUUGAUUAAUGUGCACCUAAUCUUUCUUUCCGCUAAUAGACCAUCAUAUUUCUUACUAAGAAAUGAAUUAUUUGACUACUGGUACAAGUGGCUGAGAGAAAGCCAUUUAUAAUGCUGCAUCUUCAGCUAAUGUUUCUUCUGCAACUAAACCUUGACCUGGAAAGCUCUUUCACUGAAAAUGACUAAUAUUGUCAAUUUUAAUUUUAGCUUUGAAUAUGUUUUUCUGAUGGCAGUCUAAUCUAUCCUAAAAUACUUUAUACUUCACAAUAUUAAUAAAACAUACAUAGAAAAUAAACAAAGGAAAACCCUCAUGAAGCAAAAUUUGAAUCCUGUUUAUGGAGAUGUUAUCCCAGAACUCUGAAUUUAUGCAAAAGCAGUAUAUUGGCAAAAAGAAAGAAAAUAUUUUAAAAGCAAAACAGAAUUGACUUAACCUCUCCUUUUCUUUGUUCACAAAAUAUAUUGUCAUUUUAGGCUGGUAUUGAUUUUGCUUUCCAUUUUUCUUUUAAGAUUAACUCACAUUUGAAUGUUUUUAUCAUUUUCUGUAUCACUUUUUUGAGCAAUGUUAUUUUUCAUAUUUCUGAAAAUUGCUUAGUUAAGAGAUUCGACAAAUAGCAGGUUGUAAUAACAACAGUUGCUCUCUGCUGGCCUUGUGUGUAUCAGCCCUAGUCUUAUCAUUUGUACACUAUAAGCAGCCCUUCUUCAUACAAUCAUUUUCAAAAUUGCUGUGCUAAACUUUAGGGAAUAGGGAUGUUCACCACAUUUGUACACUCAGUCAUGAGCUCAGACAAGAACGCUGAGCAUUAGGCAUGGCAAACAAACCAUGAAAACUUACAGUUGUCAGACUGGAUGACUUUUGCAGAAAAGCUGCAGAGGGUUAGUUUGUUCCUUGGCACCUUUUGUAAGAAAAAAUAAGCAUUUGCAUACACAUUUUCAAAAGCUUAAAAAGAUCAAUAGAAAAUAUAACCCAGUGUCACUGAUGCCCAAGCACUCUGAGCUAGGGUCACAGCCCUGAACAGAAGCCUUAGUAUCCAAAUUCUCUUAGUGUCCACAUUCUAAAUUCUCCUUCCAAUUAGCAACUAAAAAGUGGUAACUUGUAAUUUCUGUUGACUUUAAUAAACUGUACAGAUUUCAGCCUGCCCUGCAUCUGACAUCCAGAGUCUUUUAGAGACUAUCCAGUUGCCACUCAAAAGCAGGAGCAUUUUAAAAUGGGGGCCUUCGUUAAAAAACAGAGAACACCCACUGAAUCUGCUGAUCGGUAAAAUCCAGCCUGGCAGUUCAGCAUGACUUUAACUUUAGUCUGAGGAAGCCUGAGCCUAUUCUGUUGUAGAAUUUUCUGGAAACGGCAUUCACAAGAAGCAGUAAUGAGUUAUAUGGCAUCUGCUGACUUUGACAUGGAGCUUUUUUGAUCCAUCUUAUGGAUUUCAGUUCUCCCUAUUGUGUUAACACUGUGACUUUUGUAAACCAGAGGAGUGGAAUUUCAACUGGGACUCUACUCCUACCCUUGGCUCCAGGCUGUAGACCUUCCAAGAGCUAUUGGGAGGUUGAAUGGAAAUAAAGAUUACUACGACUAGAGGAAGCAAUGGAUGUGAUCAAUCCCUCAGUAAGAUAUGUACUGGGAGCCCUGUUAAAAUGAAAAUGGAGAGAAAGAAGAGUUUUCACAAACUGGCUGUGUAGAAAGAGCAACUACACAAAUUAUGCUCACCUGGAACAGAUGAGCUAAUAACCUCCUGCCCUCCCUUCCACUUCUUCCCCCACUGUUACUUGGGGAGGUGAGUAGGAAUUUCUGGUGGUAAAGAAAAGGGUUUGAUUUACUUUUUUGAACAUGUGAGUUUGUAAUUCAACAACCUGUUCCUGAGUUGAGGGAAAAACAUCUGUGCAUGCCGCUGGAGUAAGUACAUGUAUUAUGGACUAAUAUUGUCACUUUUCAAGAGUGCAAGUACUGUAAUUUGUUGUGCGUGUGCUUAUCAAAGCAAAGUUUAAGAAGUCUUCUAAUAAAUGAAAAGUUUUAUGGAGAUUUAUUUAUUUAUUCUUUUCAAAAGCUUUUGUUGAAACAGAAAAGUAUCUUUUUGAUGAGAAACAUCCACCUUCUUUCCCCUUAACAAACAUUGCCAUCUAAGCCUGUCUGGGAGCCUGGGGUGCAUCUAUGCUCUGUAUAUUGAGGUAUCUUGUUCAAUCUUGGGUAGAAUUUAUAAGGAGCCCCUGUAGGUCUGAGUAACUUCAGUGGAGCUGGUUGGUAAGCUAAUGUCCUGCUGUUGUUUGCAAAGGAAGGAGAUGUGAGCUUUGUUUACAGGGUAUGAUCUAAGAGAUGGUUUCUAGAGACUUCUUGACUUUUUCUAUCUUGAUAGAAGACUACAUCUUUUUACAAUAUCAGGAAAAAAAAGUUAGUUUUUUUUUUUUUUAUAAGAUAAGACUUAAACCUAAUAGUGAAUUUCUCAGUAUUUGUACCAAGCUCACUACUAAUAGAAAGGAGCAAACAAACAACAACAACAAAAAAACCCACCUAACCCGAGCAUUACAGACAAAGGGCACA